Molecule: non-coding RNA, 458 nt
Organism: Podarcis raffonei (Aeolian wall lizard)
Lineage: Eukaryota; Metazoa; Chordata; Lepidosauria; Squamata; Lacertidae
Source: the annotation of a RefSeq genome assembly
AAAUCAGAGAGGCUCUUAGAGAAACCUUUUGCUUCAGAGGAAGCCCAACUUCCUUGCAUUCCUCCAACAUGGCUAACCUUCCUCUCCUCAUUGUCCUCCUUUUCGCUUUUUGCAAUGGGGUCUUUAGCCAGUUUGUGUUGACUCAGACACCUUCGCUGUCAGUACCCCCUGGAGAAACAGCCACAAUCCCCUGUACCAGGAGCACUGGGAAAAUUGCAGACUACUAUGUAUCCUGGUACCAGCAGAAGCCAGGCAGUGCCCCCAAACUAAUUAUAUAUCAGCACAGCACCAGACCCUCUGGAAUUCCAGAGAGGUUCUCUGGUUCUUAUGACACCUCGUCCAACUCUGCCACCUUAACUGUCUCCAACCUUCAAGCAGAAGAUGAGGCUGUUUAUUACUGUUUAUCGUAUGACAGCAGCAGCAAGCGCACAGUGAUACAACCACAUAGGGAAGUGUGA